AUUGAACGCUGGCGGCAUGCUUUACACAUGCAAGUCGAACGGUAACAGGGAGCUUGCUCCGCUGACGAGUGGCGAACGGGUGAGUAAUGCAUCGGAACGUGCCGUGUAAUGGGGGGUUAACGUAGCGAAAGUUACGCUAAUACCGCAUACGCCCUGAGGGGGAAAUGGGGGACCGCAAGGCCUCACGUUAUACGAGCGGCCGAUGUCGGAUUAGCUAGUUGGUGGGGUAAAGGCCUACCAAGGCGACGAUCCGUAGCGGGUCUGAGAGGAUGAUCCGCCACACUGGGACUGAGACACGGCCCAGACUCCUACGGGAGGCAGCAGUGGGGAAUUUUGGACAAUGGGGGCAACCCUGAUCCAGCCAUGCCGCGUGAGUGAAGAAGG
Molecule: ribosomal RNA, 384 nt
Filed under: uncultured bacterium
Lineage: Bacteria
Description: bacterial SSU rRNA
Rfam family: Bacterial small subunit ribosomal RNA
Source: RNAcentral